The sequence is a transfer RNA, 74 nucleotides long. It matches the Rfam family "tRNA". From Rfam's summary of the family: Transfer RNA (tRNA) molecules are approximately 80 nucleotides in length. Their secondary structure includes four short double-helical elements and three loops (D, anti-codon, and T loops).
GCGCCGCAUGGCUAAGUGGUUACGGCGUCCCGCUCGUAACGGGAAGAUCGUCGGUUCGACUCCGACUGCGCGCA